This is a long non-coding RNA of Chiroxiphia lanceolata (lance-tailed manakin), 925 nucleotides long. RefSeq lists it as uncharacterized. NCBI's taxonomy places the organism in Eukaryota, Metazoa, Chordata, Aves, Passeriformes, Pipridae. The record is from RefSeq and is a predicted model, not a curated record. The transcript is spliced from 2 exons.
UAUAGUAUAGCAACGUAUGUCAGAAGGGGAUGUGUGCACUGCGGUCUGGUUUUGCUACCCAUGAGACUUGGCAUUGCAAUCCUGGCUCUUCUGCUUAAAAUGGCAGAGACAAAUCCAUACCACCAGGAAAAUAACGCAAAAUACUGCUUGUGGGUAUUUAAUUUCAGGAUUAUGAACUAGAAAAAAAAAAACCCAAACAAAACAGCAGCACGCCAAACCAGCUGAAUUGAUCUAUCACAACUGGGAUCUGUUCGUUUGUUGUUUGUUAUGUAAACUGCGUGACGGCCUCGCUUCCUGACGGUGGGAAAAAUCUCCUGAGAAGAAACGUGUCUUUUGCUUCCUCUGGGAAUGCUCAGUACCCUGGAGAUUCUUCUUGCUUGACAUUUUGUUUCUCAAGUGACUACUGGACCUUUGCUCGGAGGAGAUAACAGCUCUUUGUUGAGCUGAUUCACUGUAAUGGCCCAGCCAACACUGUGGGAACUGUUCCAGCAUUCACUACCCAGAGAGAAUCCAGGUUGUCCAUGCUCAGUCAGAGGAUACAAGGGACCCAUUCCUGCUCAGAGCCUGUGCAACUGUUCCUGACGUGCAACAAUCAAUCCUUUAGCAAGAGGAAAAGCAAAAGCCAUGGAAGGGAAGACGGAAUCUGCUUCGCCUUUGACAGUCCUUUGAACCGUGCUCUGGCAGCUCUCAGCAAGCCUUCCCCAGGGGGAAAUCAGGCACAUGUGCUUCUGAGAGCAAGAUCCAGGGCUGAUCCUUGCUGCUGCUGUGAAGUUCACAUGGCCAUGGCAUUCGACCCAGCUGGAAGAGAGCCCCUGCCUGAUGUGAGAGGGUAGCACGUAGCUGUGUGGUCGCUGCUGAAUUCGUGACUUAAAUGCAUGUCCCUCAUGGUGUGUGCCUUUAAAAACCCAGAUCUCUGAAUGAAACC